This 696-nucleotide ribosomal RNA is filed under the name uncultured bacterium. Its description in RNAcentral is "bacterial SSU rRNA". It matches the Rfam family "Bacterial small subunit ribosomal RNA", at positions 125 to 819 of the family's 1533-position model. The record is from RNAcentral.
CCUUCCGUACACUCAGGGAUAGCCUUUCGAAAGAAAGAUUAAUACCUGAUGGUAUCUUAAGCACGCAUGUAAUUAACAUUAAAGAUUUAUCGGUGUACGAUGGGGAUGCGUUCCAUUAGGUAGUAGGCGGGGUAACGGCCCACCUAGCCGACGAUGGAUAGGGGUUCUGAGAGGAAGGUCCCCCACAUUGGAACUGAGACACGGUCCAAACUCCUACGGGAGGCAGCAGUGAGGAAUAUUGGUCAAUGGACGAGAGUCUGAACCAGCCAAGUAGCGUGAAGGAUGAAGGUCCUACGGAUUGUAAACUUCUUUUAUAAGGGAAUAAACCCUCCCACGUGUGGGAGCUUGUAUGUACCUUAUGAAUAAGCAUCGGCUAACUCCGUGCCAGCAGCCGCGGUAAUACGGAGGAUGCGAGCGUUAUCCGGAUUUAUUGGGUUUAAAGGGAGCGCAGACGGGUCGUUAAGUCAGCUGUGAAAGUUUGGGGCUCAACCUUAAAAUUGCAGUUGAUACUGGCGUCCUUGAGUGCGGUUGAGGUGUGCGGAAUUCGUGGUGUAGCGGUGAAAUGCUUAGAUAUCACGAAGAACUCCGAUUGCGAAGGCAGCACACUAAUCCGUAACUGACGUUCAUGCUCGAAAGUGUGGGUAUCAAACAGGAUUAGAUACCCUGGUAGUCCACACGGUAAACGAUGGAUACUCA